CUCACUGAAGGGGAGCUGUCUUGUCAUUUGUGGGGGUAAACUAUUCUAUGAACAUGUGCAAAUGGCCCUAAAUAAAUCUACACUCUAAAACUUUAUUGGUGUGAAAUUAACUUCUUACUGGCCAAAUGCCUGUUUGGAUGAGUUGGCUUGUUAUAAACAUUUUUGUUAAAGCUCAUGAUUUUUAAUAUUUAAUAGUGCAGUUCACAAACCAGUAGAAGGCCACAUGAAGAGAAUUACUGCAUCUUUGUUAACCCCAGCAGGUAUUUACUUUUUUCUUGUUUGCUUAGAGAUUUGGUCAUAAUCUGGUUGUAAUUUUGGCCCAAAUGUCUUUAUUCCUUUGAGAUAAAUUGAAUCAUGGAAAGUAGUUCUCCUCACAACAUGUAACAACACUGAAGUACUAACUUGGUGAUUCUACUGGAUGCAUGAU
This 427-nucleotide long non-coding RNA is filed under the name Androctonus crassicauda. Lineage: Eukaryota; Metazoa; Arthropoda; Arachnida; Scorpiones; Buthidae. The record is from RNAcentral.